This 926-nucleotide long non-coding RNA is filed under the name Vigna radiata. RNAcentral's name for it is "long non-coding RNA (VRAD_LNC001825)". Lineage: Eukaryota; Viridiplantae; Streptophyta; Magnoliopsida; Fabales; Fabaceae. The record is from RNAcentral.
UAGCAUGUGCUCAUAAAACGGUGGUUGUAGAGUAUUCAGAAAUAUGGUGGUCAUCUCUUUGUCACUCAGAGGAGGUUCUACUUGAGCAGCGAUUUCUCUCCAUCUUUGGGCAUAUUCUCUGAACGAUUCAGAUUCUUUCUUCACCAUACUCUGCAGUUUUACUCUGUCAGGUGUUAGAUCCUUAUUAUAUUCAUACUACCUUAGAAAUGCAUCCACCAAAUCCUUCCAUGAGUGGAUAUGAGCUGUGUCUAAACGCAUGUACCAAUUUAGAGCCACGCCAGUUAAACUUUCCUGGAAGAAGUGAAUCAAAAGUUUUUCAUCAUGAGCAUAGGCUGGCAUUUUUCUGCAGUACAUGGUUAUGUGGCUCCUUGGACAGGUGUUUCCCCAAUAUUUCUCAAACUCUGGCAACUUGAACUUUGGAGGUAUCACCACAUCAGGAACUAAGCAUAAUUUUCUAGCAUCUCCAAAUUCAAACACAUUUUUGCCCUCUAUGACUCUCUACUUCUUCUCAAGCAUUUCUAAUUUUUCAAAAUCUAUUGGUGUAACACCAUAAGGUGAAGAUUUCAUCUCGGGUGAUUUUCAUACAUGCCUGGAUUGUCUCCCCAUGAAUUAUGGCAGUGUCUACCCCAAGCUUGUCUUCUAUUUCAACUACGUUAUCUUCGACCUUUUGAGCGUCGACAUGUCCCAAGUCCGCUCCUAAGAGUGGAGUGUAAUUUGGAGGAAUACCAUUAGGAGGGAAUUUUGUGCCUCUAAUACUCUUAGUUGCGAUAGUGGUGCGCGCGAAUCUCCGGGACUUUGUAAGGCAUUCAGGGCCUUUAGGAUUUAGCUCAUUUGCUCUUUCAGUUGUUGGAUAUCGACUUUCAUCCCCUCUUGAACUUCUUCUUAGUUCUCCAUGAUUUUUCCACUGGUUCGUGCCUUUUAGGAUG